RNAcentral lists this ribosomal RNA (253 nucleotides) under uncultured bacterium. RNAcentral's name for it is "partial 16S ribosomal RNA". It matches the Rfam family "Bacterial small subunit ribosomal RNA", at positions 524 to 776 of the family's 1533-position model. The record is from RNAcentral.
UACAGAGGUCCCAAGCGUUGUUCGGAUUCACUGGGCGUAAAGGGUGCGUAGGUGGUCGGGUAAGUCUGAUGUGAAAUCUCUGGGCUCAACCCAGAAAUGGCAUUGGAUACUAUUCGGCUAGAGGAGUGGAGGGGGGACUGGAAUACUUGGUGUAGCAGUGAAAUGCGUAGAUAUCAAGUGGAACACCAGUGGCGAAGGCGAGUCCCUGGACACUUCCUGACACUGAGGCACGAAAGCGUGGGGAGCGAACAGG